This 238-nucleotide RNase P RNA is filed under the name Escherichia coli. Its description in RNAcentral is "partial RNase P RNA component class A". It matches the Rfam family "Bacterial RNase P class A", at positions 124 to 367 of the family's 367-position model. Rfam says of the family: Ribonuclease P (RNase P) is a ubiquitous endoribonuclease, found in archaea, bacteria and eukarya as well as chloroplasts and mitochondria. Its best characterised activity is the generation of mature 5'-ends of tRNAs by cleaving the 5'-leader elements of precursor-tRNAs. The record is from RNAcentral. Lineage: Bacteria; Pseudomonadati; Pseudomonadota; Gammaproteobacteria; Enterobacterales; Enterobacteriaceae.
AACCGCCGAUGACCCGCGCAAGCGGGAUCAGGUAAGGGUGAAAGGGUGCGGUAAGAGCGCACCGCGCGGCUGGUAACAGUCCGUGGCACGGUAAACUCCACCCGGAGCAAGGCCAAAUAGGGGUUCACAUGGUACGGCCCGUACUGAACCCGGGUAGGCUGCUUGAGCCAGUGAGCGAUUGCUGGCCUAGAUGAAUGACUGUCCACGACAGAACCCGGCUUAUCGGUCAGCUUCAACU